AAACAACACAACUCCUCCAAGCCCCAACUAGUUACAACCCAGCCACAUCGAUUCACGAUGGCGUCCUUGGCCAGAGCCGCCCGUUUGAUGGUGCUCCUGCAGAUCGCGCUGUUCGUCGUCGUCUCCGCGGUGAUCAUGAGCAGCUCCGUCUGCCACGGAGCCGGGAUCGGUCGUGAGUGCUUCCGAACUGCUCAUUUCAUCCUCUUCGUCGUCGUCUCAUCUACUCCUUCAGUUAUACUCCUCUGCGGCGUCCUGAAAGCGGGUAAUUACUUGUAACUGAUGAAUCUCCAUGGACGCUCGUGUUUUCCUUCCAGCUGGUGCUCUGGACCCUAGCCGCCGCCCCAUAUGCGGAGGCAGACCGUGCGGACAGCCUGGCCUGCCGUACGGCGGCCGUCCUCGGCCCUACCCUUACCGUCCGCAGCCCGGCCCCGGAGCCCCUCCGCCGUACAAUGGAGGGAUUGGACGACCGUGAUCAUAGCAGUACUGUACAAGUUGCUGCAACAACCUUACUGAACCGGGAGUGUAAUAUCCGGUCGUAGGAAUAACUCCCGUUUAUUACUGCGAAUAAAACUGCAAGUCUGGCUCCCAUAUAUUAAUGGGUGUGUGAACGUGAAAGUUCGGUUCCAAAUUACUAUCACUUCCUCUGUUCGCUUUUAUAAGUCGUUUCAGACAACUGAAAAUGAGCUACUUUGCACUCUGUCUAAAAUGUCCUCAAGACCUUAUAAAAAUGAACAGAGGAAGUAAUAAAGAUGAAUAGUCUAAGUGUAAGUGUAAGUGCAAGUGUUAUGUUUUGCAAUCUGGAUUCAGUCUACAAGGCUGCCUCGUGCUAUUUUACUCUAGGCAACAUGGUGGGCACAUGGCUGCAGCUGUACGCUCCCACUCGAUCCAAGUACCCUUCCUUGUGCUUAUACCACGC
RNAcentral lists this long non-coding RNA (916 nucleotides) under Triticum aestivum (bread wheat). Its description in RNAcentral is "long non-coding RNA (TAES_LNC018842)". The record is from RNAcentral. Lineage: Eukaryota; Viridiplantae; Streptophyta; Magnoliopsida; Poales; Poaceae.